RNAcentral lists this ribosomal RNA (406 nucleotides) under uncultured bacterium. Its description in RNAcentral is "partial 16S ribosomal RNA". It matches the Rfam family "Bacterial small subunit ribosomal RNA", at positions 29 to 526 of the family's 1533-position model. The record is from RNAcentral.
AUUGAACGCUGGCGGCAGGCCUAACACAUGCAAGUCGAACGAGUGGCGGACGGGUGAGUAAUGUCUGGGACACUGCCUGAUGGAGGGGGAUAACUACUGGAAACGGUAGCUAAUACCGCAUACCAUCGGAUGUGCCCAGAUGGGAUUGGCUUGUAGGGGGGGUAACGGCUCACCUAGGCGACGAGCCCUAGCUGGUCGGAGAGGAGGACCAGCCACACUGGAACUGAGCCACGUUCCAGACUCCUACGGGAGGCAGCAGUGGGGAAUAUUGCACAAUGGGGGCAAGCCUGAUACAGACAUGCGGCGGGUAGGAAGAAGGCCUUCGGGUUUUAAAGUACUUUCAGCGGGGAGACGUUACCCGCAGAAGAAGCACCGGCUAACUCCGUGCCAGCAGCCGCGGUAAUAG